UACAUGCAAGUCGAACGGUAAGGUCCGAAGUGGCAACACGGAGGAUACACGAGUGGCGCACGGGUGCGUAACGCGUAUGCAACCUGCCCCCGACCGGGACAAAACAGCUGGAAACGGCUGCUAAUAUCCCAUGGUCAUGCGGAAGGGCAUCCUUCUUCAUGUAAAGAUUCAUUGGUCGGGGAUGGGCAUGCGUAUUAUUAGGUAGUUGGCGGGGUAACGGCCCACCAAGCCGACGAUGAUUAGGGGUCCUGAGAGGGUUAACCCCCACACUGGAACUGAGACACGGUCCAGACUCCUACGGGAGGCAGCAGUAGGGAAUAUUGGGCAAUGGGAGCAAUCCUGACCCAGCCAUGCCGCGUGAAGGAAGACGGCCCUAUGGGUUGUAAACUUCUUUUGCCGCAGAGUAAACCCGGUCACGAGUGGUCGGUUGAGAGUAUGCGGCGAAUAAGUAUCGGCUAACUCCGUGCCAGCAGCGGC
This 477-nucleotide ribosomal RNA is filed under the name uncultured bacterium. RNAcentral's name for it is "bacterial SSU rRNA". It matches the Rfam family "Bacterial small subunit ribosomal RNA", at positions 52 to 518 of the family's 1533-position model. The record is from RNAcentral.